AAAGCUUUUCCCAAUUUGAACAUUCUAAAAGAAAUGAGAAGUGUAACAAUCUUACAAAGAGGAAUAUAAAUAAUACAGAGGACAAUCCACCACACGACAUUGUUAUCGUAGAGAAAGUGUUUACGCCUUAAUCAAAACAAAGGAGGUGAGGAUCCUCACAUGCUGCGGGCAAGUCAGGAAGUUGUCCGAAUAAUGACACUGCAGCUAAUUGGCUGUAAGUACUAGCUCUUUUGCCUCCUGAUGUGUAUGCUCUUGGUCAGUCAGACAAAAGGUCGCAUCGAUUGUAAUACUGAACGUUAGGUUCCAGAGUUUUUAAGAAAACAUGCGAAGGAAGUUGUUG
This 340-nucleotide unclassified non-coding RNA is filed under the name Hevea brasiliensis (rubber tree). The record is from RNAcentral. Lineage: Eukaryota; Viridiplantae; Streptophyta; Magnoliopsida; Malpighiales; Euphorbiaceae.